CCUGGUGGCUUAGCUGGUAAAGAAUCUGCCUACAAUGCAGGAGACCUGGGUUCGAUCCCUGGGUCAGGA
RNAcentral lists this transfer RNA (69 nucleotides) under Bos taurus (domestic cattle). It matches the Rfam family "tRNA". From Rfam's summary of the family: Transfer RNA (tRNA) molecules are approximately 80 nucleotides in length. RNAcentral also lists the same sequence under 5 other names. The record is from Rfam by way of RNAcentral. Lineage: Eukaryota; Metazoa; Chordata; Mammalia; Artiodactyla; Bovidae.